Tilletiopsis washingtonensis is the source of this 96-nucleotide non-coding RNA. The record is from the annotation of a RefSeq genome assembly. Lineage: Eukaryota; Fungi; Basidiomycota; Exobasidiomycetes; Entylomatales.
GCCGCCUUAGCUCAAAUGGGAGAGCGUAAGAUUGAAGCAAAGCAGCUCAGCUAGCAUUCAUCCUUAAGGUACUCGGUUCGAUACCGAGAGGCGGCA